GAUGAACGCUGGCGGCGUGCCUAAUACAUGCAAGUCGAGCGAACGGACGAGAAGCUUUCUUCUCUUAUGUUUGCGGCGCACGUGUGUGUAACACGUGUAUAACCUACCUAUAAGACUUGUAUAACUUCGUGAAACCUGAUCUAAUACCGUAUAAUAUUUUUAACCGCAUGGUUCAAAAGUGCUAUACGGUCUUUCUGUCUCUUAUACAUUCUUUCGCGCUGCUUUAGAUAGUUGGUAAGGUAACGGCUUACCAAGGCAACGAUGGAUAGCCGAACUGAGAGGGUGAUCGGAGACACUGGAACUGAGACAGGGACAAGAGGACUAAGGGAGGCAGCAGUAGGGAAUAUGAGGCAAUGGGGGAAAGCAUGACGGAGAAAAGCGGAGUGAGAGAAGAAGGUGUUGGGAGAGUAAAAAUCUGUUAUUAGGGAAGAAAAUAUGUGAAAGUAAAUGUGGACAAAGUGACGGUACCUAAAGAGAAAGCAACGGCUAACUACGUG
Molecule: ribosomal RNA, 497 nt
Filed under: uncultured bacterium
Lineage: Bacteria
Description: partial 16S ribosomal RNA
Rfam family: Bacterial small subunit ribosomal RNA
Source: RNAcentral